CAGUGUGUUAUACUGACUGAAGUAAAUCUGUUGCUGCAGAAGAAGAUUAAUGACUUCUGUCACGCUCAGCAGCCACCUAUCAAGUUCAUCAGUGCGGAUGUGUAUGGCAUAUGUUCCCGUUUGUUUUGUGACUUCGGUGAUGAAUUUGAAGUGCUGGAUACGACGGGAGAGGAGCCAAAGGAGAUCUUCAUUUCAAACAUAACUCAAUCAAACCCUGGUAUUGUCACUUGCCUUGAAAAUCAUCCACACAGGCUUGAGACGGGACAGUUCUUAACCUUCCGGG
Molecule: long non-coding RNA, 283 nt
Organism: Eurypyga helias (sunbittern)
Lineage: Eukaryota; Metazoa; Chordata; Aves; Eurypygiformes; Eurypygidae
Exons: 3
Source: RefSeq, a predicted model, not a curated record